Long non-coding RNA from Papaver somniferum (opium poppy), 1325 nucleotides. RefSeq lists it as uncharacterized. Lineage: Eukaryota; Viridiplantae; Streptophyta; Magnoliopsida; Ranunculales; Papaveraceae. The record is from RefSeq and is a predicted model, not a curated record. The transcript is spliced from 7 exons.
CCAAACCCAUUUCUGUUUCGUAACUUUCGUUCAUAAAAAAAUAAAAAACAAAAAACGAACCUUGAAAACAAACCUUAGGAUAUGCUUUUUUCGUGGAGAUGAUGAAACAAAGAAAAGAAAAGCAACUAUCCAGAGGACAAAGGCUUUAUCCCCUGGUAGGAUAAUAAGAAACUAAAACCUAGAAAAAUACGUGCAAAAAGUCUCUCUAAUGGCGUUCUCUUAAAACCCAUUCGCUCAAUUUCUGCUCUCACAUCUUCUUUUUCCUCUAUUUGGUAAUCUCACAUAUAUCCAUCAUCAUGAACAAUAUCAACUAAUGUUCCAGUGAACGGGAAUAUCUUUAAUCCCGUUUGAUUAGGGUUUCGUUGUCAUCAUCAUCUCUAUUUUGAUUGAUGUUAUUAGGGUUCACUUUUUUAUUAGGGCUAUACUUGGAUAAAUAAUUUUGUACCACUAAGUUUGCAGGGAGAUUGGAUUAAUCUUCAAGGUACGAUUUUUAUUAAAACGAAUAGUUUUGAUCUAUUCUGCUGGUACGAUUUUUAUUGAAACGGAUACACUACCACAUCUCAUUCUCUUUUGCUGCAAUUUGUUUGGUUUGUUUGUUUAGGAAGGACAUCAGGAACAAACCAGGUCCAACUGAUGGUAUGGGACAUAGCUGUGUCUCUUAUGGAAAACAUGGGGAUUCGUUCCAGCAACAUUUCAUCUUCAAAUGAAGCUUCUUUUUUCAGUGCAGCUGGAUGGGCACAAUGUCAUGUCUCAGUGAAUGCAGAAGUAUAUGGAUGGAAAGAGCAGGUUACUUGAUAAACAGACUUCCUUGGUACUAAACAAGGAGCAUAGUACAUGAAAAUAGUUUUCUCUCUAAUGGAAGGAAUUCAACUUCAGUUGUUAUCGUAUCUGCCUCCUUUAAGGUUAAUCUCGAAUACGUGCUCCUUUAAACACAGUGGUUAUUGUUUUACUUUAUGGGAACGCAUUGUUACACACCUUUUAGAGAUGACAUCAUGGAGUCUCCAACCAAGGUUCAGUCCAGCAUACCUUUUAUUUCCUUGGGAGAGGCGAAGCCAGCCACACCAAAUCAAAUAUGAUGUACGAUGGGGACAGGCGAAGCCACAUUACACCAAAUCAAAAUUAUAGUUAAAAGAAAAAGAUGUCGGUACAUAGCACGAAGAGGAGGUUUAUAUUCUACCAUCGUGCUCCGUCCUAGGCUACUAUGGAUUCUUAUAUUGUGAUUUAUGUUCUUAGUUUGGGUUCUUAUAUAUACUUUUGGUCUUUGUCUAAUCUGAAAUCUUUUACUAUAUAUUUCAUUUCUUUUCUGAUGGCUCGAGAACAUUUCA